GACCAGACUGUAGCUCCCAAAGAAGUCUUGCCCUGAAGCUGGUGAUUUAGGGACUACGUGUUCUGGGAGAGGUCUGGGAAAGCAGCCUCCAGAGUAGCUGCAAUAGCUGAGAUGACAGGCGUGCGCCACUGCACCAGUGUGCUUGGGCUUGGAAAGCCAACAUGUCUUCUGCAUUGAGGGCCUCCUCUCAGAGCACACACCCCUCAACCUCCUGAGAUACAGAGUCAAGCCUGGCAGGUGACCAGAGAGCAGCUCAACAUGCCAAGUCUUCCAUGUAAUCCUCUAAGUGGCUAUAACCAGAAGAAAAAAAUCUCCACAGACCUCCUCAACUGUAUCUCCUGAUCAAAAAAUUUUUUUCCAUUAUAGACUUUAAAAUACAACCUACGGCCACUCUUCCCCAAUAUGACAUCACCCUUUGGAGAUGGAACAGGACAGGGCAUAGGGUGAUAAAAUCCCUGUGUGGGAUUCUCCUUGAGUCUGAGCCUCAUAUUUGGGAAUUCUGUGACAAGUCCCACCGAGCAGGCUGAGUUCCCCUGGAGUACUCUCAUCUGCCAGUUCCCACCAGGUCCCCUCAAAGGAGUAGCAGCAGAAGUGAACUACAAUUUUAGGUUAUGAGGCAAAUACCUUCUCCUUCUCCAGAGGGGAGCGGAGCUUUUGAAGGUAAUUCAACCUGCAUGGUGCCACUGUGCAUUCCAGCCUCCCCCACUUCACAAACAUCUCUACCCUGUUCACUUUGAGCCUGUUCCAACUUGACUUUGGCUGAUACCUAUCUUCCCAAC
This is a long non-coding RNA of Heterocephalus glaber (naked mole-rat), 779 nucleotides long. Lineage: Eukaryota; Metazoa; Chordata; Mammalia; Rodentia; Bathyergidae. The record is from Ensembl.